AAAAGCUCCAGUCGACAGUAACAGCUGGCCUCCAUAAUUUCUAGCGCUUCACAUCACCGCCACAGCUGUUUCAUUAUAGCAGAUCUUAUGAAAUCUUUUACUUUCAUCUACAUUUUCAAAAAAGAGACGUUUCAUAUCUUUUAUUAUAAUAGUCUUAAGCAUUUUUUCUCCAUGUCUUUCAGUUUGAAAACUAAGACGUUUCUUCUCCUUUUUUUCAUGCUGAGAAACUAAGACGCUUCUUCUUCUUUUCUUUUAUGCUAAAAAUCGAAGGCGCUUCUUCUUCAUUUCACGCCGAACGAAAAUUGGGAUGCCUCCUUCCAGGGUUUUGCAGAAUUGGUAGUGGGGGUAUUAAAAAGAUAAAUACCAGAGCCAGAAGGAAAAGUCCCAUUGAAGCAAGAAGAAGUAAAUUACUAAUCACAGUUAACAUGCAAGAACAUUGACAGGGAAUUUUGCAGACCUCUGGGAGCUUUACCUCGUCUACCACCGUAUCUUCCUGCUCCUACGUUGAAGCUUUUAGCUGAAGUUGCAGUACUCAAAGAGGAGGUCGUUCGGCUCGAAGAGCAGGUCAUACACUUUAGGCAGGACUUGUAUCGAGAAGUUGUCUGUAAAUCAUUGUUGAAAUGGAAAAUGGAGAAUUCAGCUGAUUGAGAGAGCCUUGUCUGGAUAAUAGUACUAAAUCUCAGCUAUCUACAACGUCAACUCGAAAUACAUGAAUGGCAAGGCAUUCGAGAUCGUUUUCGGGUAAGCCCUUUUGUGGUUUUUAAUUCCUCAUCUUAUGGCAUUAUCAUUUGAUGCAUAUUGGUAUCGAAGUAGGCCGUCUUUCAAGGAAAGCUAGUAGUACCUACUGCAGGCUAAUAUACCAAAGGCUAUCUCAUGUGGCCCAUAGGAGGCCUUAGUUUUCUGAAUCAAUUUUGUCAUUUAAUCAAUGAGCGGCAUGUUAAGGAGCCGUUGCGUAGGCUAGCUCCUGCUCUAUCAUCUGGUUAUGACCUGUUUGGACGCCAUUGAAUAGCAAAUACUAAUUGAAGUUUUGAAUUAAA
Gossypium arboreum is the source of this 1037-nucleotide long non-coding RNA. RefSeq lists it as uncharacterized. NCBI's taxonomy places the organism in Eukaryota, Viridiplantae, Streptophyta, Magnoliopsida, Malvales, Malvaceae. The transcript has 3 exons. The record is from RefSeq and is a predicted model, not a curated record.